UAAUUCAUCCAUUUGAGUCACUGCUAAUGUCUUUUUGUAGUGUAAACAAACAUUUCUCCCGUUUCUCUAAACUUUAAUAUGUAUAUUUUUUUGUCCUUUGGUUACCGACAGUGUUUCUGAACAGCUAACCUUUGCGCGUUUCACUCUGUCUUUGUGUUUUAGGUCAUCAGCAGAUUUCAGCAGACUGCGUGACAGAGCAGGAUCCUGUAAGUACUAAGUAAAUGAGCGAGACAACAUUUACGUUUACACUUUAUUAAACAAGCACAAUGUGAGAGGAUGAGAAACACAGUGGUGAAUUAUAGUUUCAUACAGUUUGCAGCAAUGGAGAGACACCCAGAUAGAGAGGAGGAGUAAACAGGGACUGAGAAGGUGUACAAGACAGAUGUCAGUCUGAAAAGAGCGAGAUCACAAACAUUUGUGGCAGAGACAGAGAGAGAACGAGCAUGCAAAGGGGAAAUCAAGAAAAACGUAGUGCAAGCAAGCAGCCCGGGGAGAGGCUUAGUAGUGUAUCGAUGGACAGUCUUCAAAUGCUUUAAAAUGUUUUCAUAAAGAAGAGAGUAAAAUUGAUCGACAAUAAUUCUUUAUAUCAAAAAUAUAUCAAUGGGUCUAUAACUACAUGAAAUAGAGAAAGCACAUACAAUAUUACAUAUUUACAUUUUGUAUGUGAGUAUUUGUCAAAUCCUUAUAUACACAAAAAUUUAGUCCCAAACAGUACAAACAUGAACCCAACGUUGACAGAACAUUGCAGCUGUGCAGAUCACGGAGCCACAACGUAAUUCCAAUGUUGUCAGGAUGUUGGUGACCGCUUGGGUGAAGUCCCUGUGAUAAUGUACAGUCUGAUUGUUUCGAAGUGGUAUGUGCUGAUGUGCUUAUAGAGAGAAUCAUACACUCCCUUCAAUCGCUCCCCGUAAGUGGGAUUUUG
Cyprinus carpio (common carp) is the source of this 922-nucleotide long non-coding RNA. RefSeq lists it as uncharacterized. NCBI's taxonomy places the organism in Eukaryota, Metazoa, Chordata, Actinopteri, Cypriniformes, Cyprinidae. The transcript has 2 exons. The record is from RefSeq and is a predicted model, not a curated record.